UGAAAUAGACAAGGCCUGGUGCAGAU
This 26-nucleotide non-coding RNA is filed under the name Rattus norvegicus (Norway rat). Lineage: Eukaryota; Metazoa; Chordata; Mammalia; Rodentia; Muridae. The record is from RNAcentral.